CCUACGGGUGGCAGCAGUGGGGAAUAUUGCACAAUGGGCGCAAGCCUGAUGCAGCCAUGCCGCGUGUGUGAAGAAGGCCUUCGGGUUGUAAAGCACUUUCAGCGGGGAGGAAGGCGGUGAGGUUAAUAACCUCAUCGAUUGACGUUACCCGCAGAAGAAGCACCGGCUAACUCCGUGCCAGCAGCCGCGGUAAUACGGAGGGUGCAAGCGUUAAUCGGAAUUACUGGGCGUAAAGCGCACGCAGGCGGUCUGUCAAGUCGGAUGUGAAAUCCCCGGGCUCAACCUGGGAACUGCAUUCGAAACUGGCAGGCUAGAGUCUUGUAGAGGGGGGUAGAAUUCCAGGUGUAGCGGUGAAAUGCGUAGAGAUCUGGAGGAAUACCGGUGGCGAAGGCGGCCCCCUGGACAAAGACUGACGCUCAGGUGCGAAAGCGUGGGGAGCAAACAGGAUUAGAUACCCCUAGUAGUC
RNAcentral lists this ribosomal RNA (466 nucleotides) under uncultured Klebsiella sp. RNAcentral describes it as "bacterial SSU rRNA". It matches the Rfam family "Bacterial small subunit ribosomal RNA", at positions 338 to 795 of the family's 1533-position model. Lineage: Bacteria; Pseudomonadati; Pseudomonadota; Gammaproteobacteria; Enterobacterales; Enterobacteriaceae. The record is from RNAcentral.